GCGUCAGAGAGAGGGAUGCUGGGAACAGCCCGGAGAGAGCUGCUCCGCUCAGGGAACCACGACCUGUCACUCCCUGUCCACCGAGGCCUGAUUCAGAAUUUUCCGUGUGAAAAGGGACAAUCCCGAGAUGUUACAGAGCUGGACGCUACAGACAACAACUGUUAUUAAUUAUUGGAGAAGUUUAGGUCUGAUGGAUUUUUAAUCUCAUUCAAAGUCUACACCGUCUGUGGAGAGCCGGUGAAAUGCUUUGUUGUUCCAUCCAAAUCCCCGACGGCCGCUGUCGAACCUCCAGCGCACGGCCCAAACCGGCGUCACCUCUGCAGUUAACUGAGCAAAUAUUACAGGAUCCAUUUGCACAGGGAUGCGCUCCGGCAGGUCCAGCCCGCUCGCCGCGUGUUUGCUCAUCCCGGGGGAGCCCAUCCGGCACUUUGAAUGCUUCCCCCACACAACACCUCUAACCGAGCAGGAGCAAUCUGAUCCCCCAGCUGGAGUGAUAUAAGAGCACCCAUUCCUACCGGCUGAGAAAAGAGAGAGACUACCAUGAGGAUUUGGGAUGGGAAGAUGGGGGAGGUGAGGGUUAAGGGAGAUGGAACCUCAGGGAGAUCCAAAAUCAGGGAUCAACUCAACUACAAAAAGCUGAACAGCCAAGUAACAAAUGGGCAAAGGGUCUGAUAGACACUUCUCCGGAGGAGCUCUCCAGAUGGCCCACGGGCUCGUCGAAGACACUCAGCAUCGUGAGUUGUCAGGGAGAUGCAAGUCAAAGCCACAAGGGGCCACCACUUCACCCCCACUGGGAAGGCCACAAUCAGCGCCAUGAGAAGUAAGGGGUGACAAGGACGUGGAGAAAUCGGGACCCUCAUACAUGCUGGUGGGAGCGUAAAUGGGGCAGCUGCUGGAAAACAGUCUGGUUCCUCCUCAAAAACUGAACCCAGAGUUAUCCUCCGACCCCGGAAUUCCACUCCGAGGCGUACACUUAUGAGAAAUGGAAACAUACGCCACGCAAAAACUUGGCCACAAACGUUCCUCCCGGCAGUAUUUGUUUCGAAUAGCCAAGAAGUAAAAAGAGCCCAAGGGUACGUCAACAGGUUCCUGGACCUCCACACAAUGAGCAUCGUGAGCUGGAGAAAAGCAUGCGGUACUGACACACCGUCCAACGCGGAUGAACCUUGAAAACGUAAGUGAAAGACGCCGGACACAAGAGGCCACGUGUCACAUGACCCCAUUUACCUGAAAUGUCUUCAAGAUGGGAAAUAGAUUACUGUUUAUCAAGAGCUGAGGACGGGGAGAAAUGGGGGCGCUGAGUGCUUAACAUAGUGGGAUUUCUUUUGGGGAAGACGAAGAUGUUCUGGAAACAGACAUAAUGGUGGCAUAACACUGUGAUUGCACCAAAGGCCCUUGAACUAUAUACUUUAAAAUGGCUGAAAUAGUGAAUAUCGUGUCAUAUGAACGUUACCUUAGUAACAACCUACAAACAGGGGCUGUGCUCAUCACUCUCAUCACUCAGGAUUUGCAGAGGGCCCAGUGCAAAAUGAGAAAACAAGAACCCUUGUCCAGAAGUUAUUAAGAAUUUCAAGGUGCUGCAGGGAGCAUUGCCGGAGCUCGGGCCCCGGGGUGUGGGCACAGGUCACACCUGCACGUGGGAGCAGGUGCCAGUCCUGGGAGCACCUGGGGCCUCGGACCUAGAGCCAGGAUGCCUCAGCUCCUCAGCCACAUGGCUCUCCUACAGCAGCUCAUGUCUGCCCUUCUGGGGCCCCCACGCUGCUGCUCUUGGGGCUUACGCUAGCUUGUCUCUCUUUGGUUCCCUCACUGUCAUCUCCCCCUGCUACUUCGGGUUCUCUUUGUGCUGCCACAUUCACAUCCCUAAGGCAGGGAUCUGAUGGGCCAGCUCACCCGGGGGCUGGUGGCCGUGUAUGUGGCACUGUCCCCAGCAGCUUCCUUCAGCUGUAUCAGGGAUGGGGACCCCGUCGUCCAAAGCCUGAGUGAGGCUCCUUCAGCACAACUUGGGGUGGGACCAUAUCCCGCUGUCAGGAUGGGGACCCAUGUGAAACAUCUGUUCUACCCAAGGUAUCACUGUCACGUUGAGCUUUAUCUAGCAGAGAAAAGGCGCCCCAUCUCUUGGAUUCCAGGCAACUCUGUGCUGUGCUUGAGUCUGGAAACCCAGUGUGAUCGCCUGUGGGUGACAGGAAGAUCCCCAUCAGAGCUACCUCCCUGGAGCCAGGCGCCAGUGACCAACUGGCCACCCCAUUUCCAUCCCCAGGUGCCAACGAUCUCUCACACCAGCUGUGCUUCAGUGCAGCCCUGGGCUGAGCCCAUUGUCUCUCUGAAGGGGAUCUCCCAGGAUCGGGGGGCAAGGAGGCCAGGGGAAGGAAGCCAAGCCCACACCUCCUGGGGAGGCUGCAAGUUGCAGCACAUACAUCCCAAGCCCUCGCUGUGACCCCUGCCCUCUGUCCUGGGGCCACAGCUCGUCUUCCCAGCACUGGCUUCCUGGGUCGCUGGAGCUAGUUUUCCAGCCUUGCAGCUUUCCUGCCAGUCCCCACCCGACUGAUCCAACCCUGCUAGUGGCCACCUGACACUCACGCCAUGAUUGCCCAUCUGGACGGUGACCACAGCCAACUGACUGGUGAGAGAACACAGAGAACCUAUUUUAUACCCAGAUGGGACUUUGGAGGCCAUCCUUGGUCCUUCAUUAUUUUUUUAAAAUUUUAGAUAAUUUACUUUUCCAAUUACAAGAAAAUAUUAUUUUUUAAAAAAGAUUCUAUUUAUUUAUUCAUGAGAGACACACAGAGAGAGGCAGAGACAUAGGCAGAGGGAGAAGCAGGCUCCAUGCAGGGAGCCUGUUGCAGGACUCGAUCCCAGGACCCGGGGAUCAUGCCCUGAGCCAAAGGCAGAUGCUCAACCACUGAGCCACCCAGGUGCCCCUACAAGAAAAUAUUCUUAGAUGAAACCUCUAAGGCAGUGGUUCUCAAGAGGCGCUGUCUCUCUAGAGACUUUUGGCGUUAUCUAGAGACUUUCUAGUUGUCGCAACAGGGGCAUAAGAGGAGAUACUACUGGUUUCUAGUGAGCAGAGGACAGGGGUGUCGCUACGUCCUACAAUAUACAGGACAGCCUUCUGAACAAAGAAUCAUUUGGCUCAAAACGCCAAUACUGUUGAGAUUGAGAAAACCUGCACUAAAGUCAUGAAAAUUUUUAAAUUGAACAGAUAAUUAUAACCAUGUGUUUAAACUUUAAAUAGCAUCUCAACUGACUGAUACAGAUGAUGAGUUUACAUUCUCUUACUUUUGUACAAUGUAUAGUUUUAUUAUUUUUAUAUCUUAUAAAAUACAAUUUAUUUUGGGGGCCCCUGGGUGGCUCAGUCAGCUAAGGGUCUGCGUUUGGCUCAGAUCAUGAUCCCAGGGUCCCGGGAUGGAGCCCCACGUCGGGGUCCCUGCUCUGCGGGGAGCGUGCUUCUGCCUCUGCCCGCUUCUCCCCCUUGCUUGUGCGCUCUCUCUCUCUCUGUCAAAUAAAUAAAUAAAAUCUUUAAAAUAUAUAUAUGUAUAUCCAAUUUAUUUUUAAAUCAUAAUACUCAUCUCACAAUGUUCCCAAAAUUCUUUAAUCCUGGCUCUAAAUUUAGAUGACUUGAAUAUGGCCCCUUACUUUAACAUAUGCUCCUGUUUCACUCAUUUUUUUUUCCAGAGUGGAGAUUUUGUCACCAGAUGUUCUGUUUUACUACCUUCUGGAGGAGGUAUUUUCAUCCAUAAACUCGUAUUCACUUUGCACUGAUCACCUUCCUGAACUUACAUUUCGGAGAUAAACUUAGGACGAUAUAAUCGGCAGUAGUCAAAGUGGAGCAUUCUUUUCUUUAAAUAAAUAUUUCUUAAAAUAAAAAUUUUGUCUUGUUGCAAAGUAAUAAAUAUUCAUUGCAGAGAAAAGCAAAAAGAUGCUGAGAACCGAAUAGUACAAUAUGAAAAUGAUUCUCUUGAGAUCACUGCUGUCAAUGUAUGUACAGUAUUACUCUCUAUGCAUAUAUGUACUCAAAAAAUGAAUUAGGGUUUAUAAUGAACACCUUACUAGUGUGUAACCUGCUUUUUUUCAGCUAACAAUAUACAAGAACUUCUACCUGUGGUGCUGACUAUUCACCUAUAUUAUUUAUAUACAUAAUCAUAUGUACAUGUAAAUGACAAAGUGUAUAUGAAUAAUAUACACAUGUAUGUUCUCCUAUAUAUUAUGUCUCCACUAUAUUAUUUUAACAAUCACAUAACAUUAAAGGUAGUGUCACGUC
This 4258-nucleotide long non-coding RNA is filed under the name Canis lupus familiaris (dog). RNAcentral describes it as "lncRNA (ENSCAFG00000042841.2)". The record is from RNAcentral. Lineage: Eukaryota; Metazoa; Chordata; Mammalia; Carnivora; Canidae.